RNAcentral lists this small nucleolar RNA (218 nucleotides) under Capsella rubella. Its description in RNAcentral is "Plant small nucleolar RNA U3". It matches the Rfam family "Plant small nucleolar RNA U3". From Rfam's summary of the family: Small nucleolar RNAs (snoRNAs) are involved in the processing and modification of rRNA in the nucleolus. Lineage: Eukaryota; Viridiplantae; Streptophyta; Magnoliopsida; Brassicales; Brassicaceae. The record is from Rfam by way of RNAcentral.
ACGACCUUACUUGAACAGGAUCUGUUCUAUAGGCUUGUACCUCUGUAUCCUUGAUUUCUAAGGAGACAGGCUCUUAACCCUGGUUGAUGAACCAUGACCGUGCGAUCAGAGCGUGAUUAACGGCUACGAUCGUUCUCGGACGUUUCCGGUGCUGUAGAGGAUCGUUACUCGGCUAGGUUCUUCCUUGCCGGGGUGGUCGCACGGCGGUCUGACAGGUC